UGUAACUGAUUACAUGGAGGUAGGGUCUUCUUAGGGGAAGACAUAACCCGUUAUCUCUCUUAUUUUCCUGUGGUAAGUCUCAGUGACUAGCGUGGUUUUAGCAACGCAAAGUUAAGCAAAGCGACAACUACAAAGCGGAAAGCCAAAACGGAAAGACAACAUGUCAACUAUCCGCCAUCUUGUGUGUUAUCGUUCGGAAUAUGGUCGCGUAAGACACAGCCAUCACAGCAAGGCACAUCAAGCCCCAACAUGCGAACACGCUUUCUCCUAAAAUUAGGUCCAAAAAAGCCAGACCAAUCAGAACUCCACUCAGAAACCAUGUGACCACACUGCUGAUGUAAUACAUCCGGGGAUGUAUCUGUCGAUGACGUAAUGGCCAGACAGUGGCGAACAUUCGAUCAAGAGAAAUGAGCAUCAGGGUUGUCAAGUGGGCGGAGGUCAAAAACCCGAUCAUGACAACGAUCUUCUCCGUUUGGUCUCCGAGGAGAUAACUUCGUGGGACCUCGGGCGACGAGAGCGGUAGGAUGACCUUCCUAAGAUACUCGGCAAACAUAGGCGCAAGGACAGAGCCGAAAAGGAAGUUCGAUAUAGCCAGGUUAAGGAUGAAGUAAGUGUUUCGUUUGCGAAGAUGCUCAUUAAUGAUGAAGGCCAGAAUAAUAAGGGCAUUUGUGGUGGCAGCGGCGAUGCAGAUGAUGUAGGUUGCGGCGUACGUAAAGAUUUGGAAGCUUUUAGGGGGCAGGUAGUAAACGUCAGUUUGGUUCAUGGUGCGUCCGGUUUAACGAGGUAUAUAACAACGCUUUGUUUCACGCAAGGACUGUUUGGAAUAUCCAGGUUGCUAUGAAGUUGGGCGAAACACUUGCUUGAUUAAACAAGGUGGAUUACGACAGUGACGAAUGAUUUUAGACAAUAGUUGUCCAGGAUAUUCAGGUCCCUUGAAGGUAAAUGUCGCCUGGUUAAGCGAGGUGGAUAACGAAAUAAAUGUCUGCCUCGAUUCACGUCGCUGGUGACCGACAGAAGCUCCUGAUAAUUUCUCUUGUAAAAAUGUACUCAGUAAGAACCUAGAAAAUUAUUGGCAAUGUUGAUACUAAGUUGAUACUGAAGACGAUUAAGGUGCCUCUAUGGCAACUCUAUCUACAAAGAGACGGGGAAUCUAUGUUGCUUGCUAUCCUAAUGACCAUAUUAAAAACUGUUCUUUGUG
Nematostella vectensis (starlet sea anemone) is the source of this 1198-nucleotide long non-coding RNA. RefSeq lists it as uncharacterized. Lineage: Eukaryota; Metazoa; Cnidaria; Anthozoa; Actiniaria; Edwardsiidae. The record is from RefSeq and is a predicted model, not a curated record. The transcript is spliced from 2 exons.